CCUUACGGCUCAGUAACACGUGGAUAACCUGCCCUUGGGUCCGGCAUAACCCCGGGAAACUGGGGAUAAUUCCGGAUAACGCACAUAUGCUGGAAUGCUUUAUGCGUAAAAUGGAUUCGUCUGCCCAAGGAUGGGUCUGCGGCCUAUCAGGUAGUAGUGGGUGUAAUGUACCUACUAGCCAACAACGGGUACGGGUUGUGAGAGCAAGAGCCCGGAGAUGGAUUCUGAGACAUGAAUCCAGGCCCUACGGGGCGCAGCAGGCGCGAAAACUUUACAAUGCGGGAAACCGUGAUAAGGGGACACCGAGUGCCAGCGUCAUACGCUGGCUGUCCAGGUGUGUAAAAUACACCUGUUAGCAAGGGCCGGGCAAGACCGGUGCCAGCCGCCGCGGUAACACCGGCGGCCCGAGUGGUGAUCGUGAUUAUUGGGUCUAAAGGGUCCGUAGCCGGUUUGGUCAGUCCUCCGGGAAAUCUGAUAGCUCAACUAUUAGGCUUUCGGGGGAUACUGCCAGACUUGGAACCGGGAGAGGUAAGAGGUACUACAGGGGUAGGAGUGAAAUCUUGUAAUCCCUGUGGGACCACCUGUGGCGAAGGCGUCUUACCAGAACGGGCUCGACGGUGAGGGACGAAAGCUGGGGGCACGAACCGGAUUAGAUACCCGGGUAGUCCCAGCCGUAAACGAUGCUCGCUAGGUGUCAGGCAUGGCGCGACCGUGUCUGGUGCCGCAGGGAAGCCGUGAAGCGAGCCACCUGGGAAGUACGGCCGCAAGGCUGAAACUUAAAGGAAUUGGCGGGGGAGCAC
Molecule: ribosomal RNA, 800 nt
Filed under: uncultured bacterium
Lineage: Bacteria
Description: bacterial SSU rRNA
Rfam family: Archaeal small subunit ribosomal RNA
Source: RNAcentral